UUUGGUUAAGUUAGAAAGGGCGCACGGUGGAUGCCUUGACACUAGGAGUCGAUGAAGGACGGGACUAACGCCGAUAUGCUUCGGGGAGCUGUAAGUAAGCUUUGAUCCGAAGAUUUCCGAAUGGGGAAACCCACCAUACGUAAUGGUAUGGUAUCCUUAUCUGAAUACAUAGGGUAAGGAAGACAGACCCAGGGAACUGAAACAUCUAAGUACCUGGAGGAAGAGAAAGCAAAUGCGAUUUCCUGAGUAGCGGCGAGCGAAACGGAACAUAGCCCAAACCAAGAGGCUUGCCUCUUGGGGUUGUAGGACAUUCUAUACGGAGUUACAAAGGAACGAGGUAGACGAAGCGACCUGGAAAGGUCCGUCGUAGAGGGUAACAACCCCGUAGUCGAAACUUCGUUCUCUCUUGAAUGUAUCCUGAGUACGGCGGAACACGUGAAAUUCCGUCGGAAUCUGGGAGGACCAUCUCCCAAGGCUAAAUACUCCCUAGUGAUCGAUAGUGAACCAGUACCGUGAGGGAAAGGUGAAAAGCACCCCGGAAGGGGAGUGAAAGAGAUCCUGAAACCGUGUGCCUACAAAUAGUCAGAGCCCGUUAACGGGUGAUGGCGUGCCUUUUGUAGAAUGAACCGGCGAGUUACGAUCCCGUGCGAGGUUAAGCUGAAGAGGCGGAGCCGCAGCGAAAGCGAGUCUGAAUAGGGCGUUUAGUACGUGGUCGUAGACCCGAAACCAGGUGAUCUACCCAUGUCCAGGGUGAAGUUCAGGUAACACUGAAUGGAGGCCCGAACCCACGCACGUUGAAAAGUGCGGGGAUGAGGUGUGGGUAGCGGAGAAAUUCCAAUCGAACCUGGAGAUAGCUGGUUCUCCCCGAAAUAGCUUUAGGGCUAGCCUUAAGUGUAAGAGUCUUGGAGGUAGAGCACUGAUUGGACUAGGGGUCCUCAUCGGAUUACCGAAUUCAGUCAAACUCCGAAUGCCAAUGACUUAUCCUUAGGAGUCAGACUGCGAUGAUAAGAUCCGUAGUCAAAAGGGAAACAGCCCAGACCGCCAGCUAAGGUCCCAAAGUGUGUAUUAAGUGGAAAAGGAUGUGGAGUUGCUUAGACAACUAGGAUGUUGGCUUAGAAGCAGCCACCAUUUAAAGAGUGCGUAAUAGCUCACUAGUCGAGUGACUCUGCGCCGAAAAUGUACCGGGGCUAAAUACACCACCGAAGCUGCGGAUUGAUACCAAUGGUAUCAGUGGUAGGGGAGCGUUCUAAGGACAGUGAAGUCAGACCGGAAGGACUGGUGGAGUGCUUAGAAGUGAGAAUGCCGGUAUGAGUAGCGAAAGACGGGUGAGAAUCCCGUCCACCGAAUGCCUAAGGUUUCCUGAGGAAGGCUCGUCCGCUCAGGGUUAGUCAGGACCUAAGCCGAGGCCGACAGGCGUAGGCGAUGGACAACAGGUUGAUAUUCCUGUACCACCUCUUUAUCGUUUGAGCAAUGGAGGGACGCAGAAGGAUAGAAGAAGCGUGCGAUUGGUUGUGCACGUCCAAGCAGUUAGGCUGAUUAAGUAGGCAAAUCCGCUUAUCGUGAAGGCUGAGCUGUGAUGGGGAAGCUCCUUAUGGAGCGAAGUCUUUGAUUCCCCGCUGCCAAGAAAAGCUUCUAGCGAGAUAAAAGGUGCCUGUACCGCAAACCGACACAGGUAGGCGAGGAGAGAAUCCUAAGGUGUGCGAGAGAACUCUGGUUAAGGAACUCGGCAAAAUGACCCCGUAACUUCGGGAGAAGGGGUGCUUUCUUAACGGAAAGCCGCAGUGAAUAGGCCCAAGCGACUGUUUAGCAAAAACACAGCUCUCUGCGAAGCCGUAAGGCGAAGUAUAGGGGGUGACACCUGCCCGGUGCUGGAAGGUUAAGGAGAGGGGUUAGCGUAAGCGAAGCUCUGAACUGAAGCCCCAGUAAACGGCGGCCGUAACUAUAACGGUCCUAAGGUAGCGAAAUUCCUUGUCGGGUAAGUUCCGACCCGCACGAAAGGUGUAACGAUUUGGGCACUGUCUCAACCAGAGACUCGGUGAAAUUAUAGUACCUGUGAAGAUGCAGGUUACCCGCGACAGGACGGAAAGACCCCGUGGAGCUUUACUGUAGCCUGAUAUUGAAUUUUGGUACAGUUUGUACAGGAUAGGCGGGAGCCUUUGAAACCGGAGCGCUAGCUUCGGUGGAGGCGCUGGUGGGAUACCGCCCUGACUGUAUUGAAAUUCUAACCUACGGGUCUUAUCGACCCGGGAGACAGUGUCAGGUGGGCAGUUUGACUGGGGCGGUCGCCUCCUAAAGUGUAACGGAGGCGCCCAAAGGUUCCCUCAGAAUGGUUGGAAAUCAUUCGUAGAGUGCAAAGGCAUAAGGGAGCUUGACUGCGAGACCUACAAGUCGAGCAGGGACGAAAGUCGGGCUUAGUGAUCCGGUGGUUCCGCAUGGAAGGGCCAUCGCUCAACGGAUAAAAGCUACCCCGGGGAUAACAGGCUUAUCUCCCCCAAGAGUCCACAUCGACGGGGAGGUUUGGCACCUCGAUGUCGGCUCAUCGCAUCCUGGGGCUGUAGUCGGUCCCAAGGGUUGGGCUGUUCGCCCAUUAAAGCGGUACGCGAGCUGGGUUCAGAACGUCGUGAGACAGUUCGGUCCCUAUCCGUCGUGGGCGUAGGAAAUUUGAGAGGAGCUGUCCUUAGUACGAGAGGACCGGGAUGGACGCACCGCUGGUGUACCAGUUGUUCUGCCAAGGGCAUAGCUGGGUAGCUAUGUGCGGAAGGGAUAAGUGCUGAAAGCAUCUAAGCAUGAAGCCCCCCUCAAGAUGAGAUUUCCCAUAGCGUAAGCUAGUAAGAUCCCUGAAAGAUGAUCAGGUUGAUAGGUUCGAGGUGGAAGCAUGGUGACAUGUGGAGCUGACGAAUACUAAUAGAUCGAGGACUUAACCAUAUAA
RNAcentral lists this ribosomal RNA (2929 nucleotides) under Bacillus anthracis (anthrax bacterium). Its description in RNAcentral is "23S ribosomal RNA". It matches the Rfam family "Bacterial large subunit ribosomal RNA". Lineage: Bacteria; Bacillati; Bacillota; Bacilli; Caryophanales; Bacillaceae. The record is from RNAcentral.